AACGAACGCUGGCGGCAUGCCUAACACAUGCAAGUCGAACGAAGGCUUCGGCCUUAGUGGCGCACGGGUGCGUAACGCGUGGGAAUCUGCCCUUUGGUUCGGAAUAACAGCUGGAAACGGCUGCUAAUACCGGAUGAUGACGAAAGUCCAAAGAUUUAUCGCCAGAGGAUGAGCCCGCGUUGGAUUAGGUAGUUGGUGGGGUAAAGGCCUACCAAGCCGACGAUCCAUAGCCGGUCUGAGAGGAUGAUCAGCCACACUGGGACUGAGACACGGCCCAGACUCCUACGGGAGGCAGCAGUGGGGAAUAUUGGAAAAUGGGCGCAAGCCUGAUCCAGCAAUGCCGCGUGAGUGAUGAAGGCCCUAGGGUUGUAAAGCUCCUUUACCCGGGAAGAUAAUGACUGUACCGGGAGAAUAAGCCCCGGCUAACUCCGUG
RNAcentral lists this ribosomal RNA (433 nucleotides) under uncultured bacterium. Its description in RNAcentral is "partial 16S ribosomal RNA". It matches the Rfam family "Bacterial small subunit ribosomal RNA", at positions 29 to 507 of the family's 1533-position model. The record is from RNAcentral.